AACGCACAUUGCGCCCGCCAGUACUCUGGCGGGCAUGCCUGUCUGAGCGUCAUUUCAACCCUCGCCCCCGGCUUCUGUCGGGGACGGUGUUGGGGAUCGGCCUCCCGUCUUCCGGGUGGCCGGCCCCUAAAUCGAGUGGCGACCACGUCGUAACCUCCUCUGCGUAGUAGUUAAACACUCGCGGGCGGAGAGCGAUGCGGCCUGCCGUAAAACCCCCAACUCUUCUAAGGUUGACCUCAGAUCAGGUAGGAAUACCCGCUGAACUUAA
Molecule: unclassified non-coding RNA, 268 nt
Filed under: uncultured Fusariella
Lineage: Eukaryota; Fungi; Ascomycota; Sordariomycetes; Hypocreales
Description: sequence contains ITS2
Rfam family: 5.8S ribosomal RNA (bases 1-52)
Source: RNAcentral